Molecule: ribosomal RNA, 439 nt
Filed under: uncultured Morganella sp.
Lineage: Bacteria; Pseudomonadati; Pseudomonadota; Gammaproteobacteria; Enterobacterales; Morganellaceae
Description: bacterial SSU rRNA
Rfam family: Bacterial small subunit ribosomal RNA
Source: RNAcentral
CCUACGGGGGGCUGCAGUUAGGAAUCUUGGGCAAUGGGCGCAAGCCUGACCCAGCCAUGCCGCGUGUGUGAAGAAGGCCUUCGGGUUGUAAAGCACUUUCAGUGGUGAAGAAAAGCCUGGAGCUAAUACCUCCGGGUCUUGACGUUAGCCACAGAAGAAGCACCGGCUAACUCCGUGCCAGCAGCCGCGGUAAUACGGAGGGUGCGAACGUUAAUCGGAAUUACUGGGCGUAAAGCGCGCGUAGGCGGUUCGACAAGUGGGAUGUGAAAGCCCUGGGCUCAACCUGGGAACUGCAUUCCAAACUAUCGGGCUAGAGUGUGGUAGAGGGAGGUAGAAUUUCCUGUGUAGCGGUGAAAUGCGUAGAUAUAGGAAGGAAUACCAGUGGCGAAGGCGGCCUCCUGGACCAACACUGACGCUGAGGUGCGAAAGCGUGGGGAGC